Oncorhynchus tshawytscha (Chinook salmon) is the source of this 427-nucleotide long non-coding RNA. The record is from Ensembl. Lineage: Eukaryota; Metazoa; Chordata; Actinopteri; Salmoniformes; Salmonidae.
GGGGGAGGUGAGGUGGAGUGUAUGGCAGGAGAGAGGUGAGGUGGGGUGUGUGGCAGGGGAGAGGUAAGGUGGGGUGUAUGGCAGGGGAGAGGUGAGGUGAGGUGGUGUGUAUGGCAGGGGAGAGGUGAGGUGGUGUGUAUGGCAGGGGAGAGGUGAGGUGGUGUGUAUGGCAGGGGAGAGGUGAGGUGGUGUGUAUGGCAGGGGAAAGGUGAGGUGGGGUGUAUGGCAGGGGAAAGGUGAGGUGGUGUGUAUGGCAGGGGAAAGGUGAGGUGGGGUGUAUGGCAGGGGAGAGGUGAGGUGGGGUGUAUGCCAGGGGAAAGGUGAGGUAUACAACACAUUUUCCAAAAAGUAGUAGCAUUAGUCACGUAAACACAGAAAUAAACAAAUGGCACAUUGGAUUCCUAAUUUUAAAAAUAAGUGGUGCUUU